Long non-coding RNA from Maniola jurtina (meadow brown), 87 nucleotides. RefSeq lists it as uncharacterized. Lineage: Eukaryota; Metazoa; Arthropoda; Insecta; Lepidoptera; Nymphalidae. The transcript has 3 exons. The record is from RefSeq and is a predicted model, not a curated record.
UAGCGUGAGAAUCAUAGAGCGUACUUUUACUUUGCUCAGGAUUAAGAUUGAGUUAAAACGAGACAGAUUUAUGCCAUGGAUAUAACG